Long non-coding RNA from Pyrus x bretschneideri (Chinese white pear), 481 nucleotides. RefSeq lists it as uncharacterized. Lineage: Eukaryota; Viridiplantae; Streptophyta; Magnoliopsida; Rosales; Rosaceae. The record is from RefSeq and is a predicted model, not a curated record. The transcript has 2 exons.
UCUUAGACCCAACCCUUUCUCUUUGUAAUCUCUCCCUCUCUGAAUUCUCUCCCUUUCAAAUUCCUCCCUCUCUUGAAUCCCCUCCUCACUCAAGCUCAAGAUUUUGCGUUUGAUUUCUCACCGCCGCUCAGCUACUAGUGCACCUCUCACACCUCAUGCACAUCCUGCUCCGAUUGGUAGUGCUCUACCAAUUGUAGAGCCUACAACUGUUACACCGGCUGCUCCCCCGGUUUUUGAGGUGCCGACGUCAUCCACCGCUUCAGUGAUGCAUCUACAGAUGAGCGCUCGUCGGACUCACUGGCGACCACCCAGAGCAGACUCUCGUGACAUCCACAGUGGAGGGAAAGGGAUCACAGACAUGUAGUAUUAAAUUAUUGAUAUUGUAAUUUUUUUGCAUUUUAAAAAUAUUUGUUGAUUAUUAUAAUCGGGUGCAUGCUGCGAAUGUUGGUUUCAUGAUAUAUAAGUGAAAAAAUUGUUGAAA